This 233-nucleotide ribosomal RNA is filed under the name uncultured bacterium. RNAcentral describes it as "partial 16S ribosomal RNA". It matches the Rfam family "Bacterial small subunit ribosomal RNA", at positions 15 to 240 of the family's 1533-position model. The record is from RNAcentral.
GAUCAUGGCUCAGGACGAACGCUGGCGGCGUGCCUAAUACAUGCAAGUAGAACGCUGAAGGAGGAGCUUGCUUCUCCGGAUGAGUUGCGAACGGGUGAGUAACGCGUAGGUAACCUGCCUGGUAGUGGGGGAUAACUAUUGGAAACGAUAGCUAAUACCGCAUAAUAGCAGUUGUUGCAUGACAACUGUUUGAAAGGUGCAAUUGCACCACUACCAGAUGGACCUGCGUUGUA